This is a long non-coding RNA of Mauremys mutica (yellowpond turtle), 1171 nucleotides long. RefSeq lists it as uncharacterized. NCBI's taxonomy places the organism in Eukaryota, Metazoa, Chordata, Testudines, Geoemydidae. The record is from RefSeq and is a predicted model, not a curated record. The transcript has 3 exons.
CCCCCCUCCAGCAGCAGGGAGUUGAGGACACUCUGCUGGGCCGGGAUUCGGGUCUCACUUGCUAUGGGUGGGGGAAGCGGCUCCUGGCAGGUGAGGUGAGUUACACCGUGACUGCUGCUGUGCAGCCCUCCCUGACCUGGGGCCAGCAGAAGCUUGUUACUUUUAUGGGUAUAAACUGUGUAGCCCUAAGCGACAGUCGUCCUGUACAGGCCCAAGGGGAUACACUCUGCACCACUCCUGCUCUGCAAAGAGAUCCUGCCCCAGGCCUGCUGCAUUCUCAGCCUGGCUCCUUCCUCACGCCUUGGGGGCCCCAGUCCAGCAGCAUGUGACACCAUCACAACUCAACCCCACUGCUUGCCUGUGCGACACCCUGCUGCAGCCCUCUCAUGCAGUGUCAGGCCCUUGCUGCCUCUGGCUCAUCCCACACGCAGUCCCCUCCCUUCCCGCUUCUCUCACCUUCUGCCAUGACAGCUGGGAGGGAAGGGUGGGGAUUCGCCUCAGCUGGUGAGUGCUGGAAGGCUCUCCACACUCCCCAUGUGCUGUCAGCCUGGAUGGGGACACUCCUGGGACUCACCCGGGAUGGACUAACCCUUUCUGUUUUCCCACAGUCCACCCUGCUUAAAGGCAGGAAACAAAAUCUCUGCCAAAGGCCUGAUUCGGCUUGCCAGUAACACUGUAAGUAUAGGGGAGGUAAGGGGAGCCCACUGGUACGGACACGUAAGAACAGCACAUAGUUAAUUGUCUUUCUUUGACUCAUCCUUCCCAUGUUGCUCGUUUUCUUUAGACUGAGAGCUCAUCGGGACAGUGACUGUCUCUACAGCCCAGGUCUGCGCCAGCCAGAGUGACACUGCCCUCCACCUCAAGAGUGAGGCCCCAGAGACUCUUUGAUUUGGUCCCAAGAAACACCUGGCUGUGCACCAUCUGCAAAGGGCAGCCUGGUGCCUGGUGGCAGCACAGCUCGCUGGGCAGUUGGAAGAGCUCCCGUUCCCCUAUAGAAGCGUGGGCUGAGCAUUCAGAGGCUGCAUGCAGAGUGGACCUGGAACAGAUGGGGGUCAAUGAACCUCUCCCAGUCAGAGUGAUGCCAAGGACAGGAGACAAUGUAACCAGCUGAGCAAAGCACUGGCAGAAUCAAGAAGGCACAGAGAGGAGGACGGGUGCCACAAAUGAGAGA